Molecule: transfer RNA, 61 nt
Filed under: Graphium antiphates (fivebar swordtail)
Lineage: Eukaryota; Metazoa; Arthropoda; Insecta; Lepidoptera; Papilionidae
Description: tRNA-Ser
Source: RNAcentral
GAAAUAUAAAAAAUUAAGCUUCUAACUUAAAUAAUAGUGAUUAAUAUUCAUUAAUAUUUCU